RNAcentral lists this ribosomal RNA (498 nucleotides) under uncultured fungus. Its description in RNAcentral is "eukaryotic LSU rRNA". The stretch from base 134 to 287 matches the Rfam family "5.8S ribosomal RNA". Lineage: Eukaryota; Fungi. The record is from RNAcentral.
UGGUUAUUCAUAACCCUUUGUUGUACGACUCUGUUGCCUCCGGGGCGACCCUGCCUUCGGGCGGGGGCUCCGGGUGGACACUUCAAACUCUUGCGUAACUUUGCAGUCUGAGUAAACUUAAUUAAUAAAUUAAAACUUUUAACAACGGAUCUCUUGGUUCUGGCAUCGAUGAAGAACGCAGCGAAAUGCGAUAAGUAAUGUGAAUUGCAGAAUUCAGUGAAUCAUCGAAUCUUUGAACGCACAUUGCGCCCCCUGGUAUUCCGGGGGGCAUGCCUGUUCGAGCGUCAUUUCACCACUCAAGCCUCGCUUGGUAUUGGGCAACGCGGUCCGCCGCGUGCCUCAAAUCGUCCGGCUGGGUCUUCUGUCCCCUAAGCGUUGUGGAAACUAUUCGCUAAAGGGUGUUCGGGAGGCUACGCCGUAAAACAACCCCAUUUCUAAGGUUGACCUCGGAUCAGGUAGGGAUACCCGCUGAACUUAAGCAUAUCAAUAAGCGGAGGA